Long non-coding RNA from Cebus imitator (Panamanian white-faced capuchin), 1547 nucleotides. RefSeq lists it as uncharacterized. The transcript has 3 exons. The record is from RefSeq and is a predicted model, not a curated record. Lineage: Eukaryota; Metazoa; Chordata; Mammalia; Primates; Cebidae.
ACCCCUGACACUGCAGCGCCAGCCGGCCUCGGGCCCCGCCCUCUGCCUGGGCUCGUCCCGCGCUCCUCCAGCUUCCCCAGGGCCUGUUUCACCGAUAGGGUCUCCUUGCCCGCGUGAAAACCUCUUUCCUCCUCAGCUCAGAAACACUCCAAGGUCUUGGCGCCCGACACGAGCCUUCCCUCAUCCGAAUACCUCUCGUGCCCCUGAUGCACUUUUCCAUUCCCACUCCCCACGUCGGCAGCCUAGCUUCUGAGAGCUUGGCCUUCUUUCCCGGUGUGGGGACUCGUGGAAGGAUUUGAUUCGCGCUUUAGAAAGAUCGCUCUGCUCCUGUGAGGAGGAGGGCGUACUAGGGGCUGCCACCGGAGACACGCUCAGAAGCUCCGGGCUACCGCGAUGGUCCAGACGUGGUCUCACUAUUUGCUAAGGCUGGUACUGAACUUUGGCUUUAAGUGAUCUGCCCACCUUGGCAUCCCAAAGCGCUGGGAUUACAGGGGUGAGCCACCAUGCCUGGCCCUCUUUUUAAAAAUAUAGGUUUGACAUUGUGAUAUAUGUAUUUGGUUUUCCUCCCUGUUUCCUGACACAUAGCUCGUAAAACCCUUGCUGGAAUUACCAAAGUGGUAAGAGUAUCUCGUAUUGCUAAUGAGAUGACUACUGACUGGGGGCUCCUAUAAAGUGUCAGGAUGGGAACUGGUCAACCUUCAGCCAGCCCUCUUUCUUCCCAGAUCACAGCCUCUGGGGAGGGGAGAGGGCUGGCUAAAGGCUGAGUUGAUCACCAAUGGCCAAUUAUUUAAUCAAUCAUGGCCAAGUAAUGACGCUUCCAUAAAAACACAAAAAAACAGGGCUCAGGAGAGCUUCUGGACAGCUGAACACAUGGAGGUUCCUGGAGCAUGGCACGCCUAGAAAGAGCAUGGAAACCCCUUCUCUGCUGGCCCUACACAUCUCUUCUAUCUAGCUGUUCAUCUGUAUCUUUUGUAACAUCUUUCAUAAUAAAUGGGUAGAGAUAAGUAAGUAUUUCCCUGAAUUCUAUGAGCUGCUCUAGCAAAUUAAUCAAACCCAAGGGGAGGGAGAUUGUAGGAACCCUGGUUUACAGUCAGAGGUAUAGAUGACAAUCUAUUACUUUUGAUUGAUAUCCAAAGUGGGGGGCAGUCUUGUGUGACUGAGCUCUCAACUUGUAGGGUCUGAUGCUACCUCCAGAUAGUAUCAGAACUGAAUCAAAUUAUAGGACAUUCAUCUGGUAUCCACUGUAUAAAUGAUCAUUUGCUUGGUGUGUGAGGGACAGUCCCCAUGUUUGGUCACAGAAGCAUUCUGUGUGGUGAGAGUACAGGAGAAAAAAGGGAGUUUGUUUUACAAUAUUCUUACAACAGGAGACUUAUUAAAGAAGCAACUCUAGGUAUCAGUAUGAUCCUCACUUUGUUAAACAUUGAAAUCAAAACUGUAUAUAUAUAUUUAAAUUUACAUAGAAAUUACCUGAAAAAGGCUGGGCAUGGUGGCUCAUGCCUAUAAUUCCAGCACUUUGGGAGGACAAGGCAGGUGGAUCACUUGAGGUC